GGAGAGGUGCUCGAGUGGUUGAAGAGGCACGCCUGGAAAGCGUGUGUACGCCAAAAGUGUACCGGGGGUUCGAAUCCCCCUCUCUCCG
Molecule: transfer RNA, 88 nt
Filed under: Bacteroides reticulotermitis
Lineage: Bacteria; Pseudomonadati; Bacteroidota; Bacteroidia; Bacteroidales; Bacteroidaceae
Also listed under: 1 other name
Description: tRNA-Ser
Rfam family: tRNA
About the family: Transfer RNA (tRNA) molecules are approximately 80 nucleotides in length. Their secondary structure includes four short double-helical elements and three loops (D, anti-codon, and T loops). Further hydrogen bonds mediate the characteristic L-shaped molecular structure. tRNAs have two regions of fundamental functional importance: the anti-codon, which is responsible for specific mRNA codon recognition, and the 3' end, to which the tRNAs corresponding amino acid is attached (by aminoacyl-tRNA synthetases). tRNAs cope with the degeneracy of the genetic code in two manners: having more than one tRNA (with a specific anti-codon) for a particular amino acid; and 'wobble' base-pairing, i.e. permitting non-standard base-pairing at the 3rd anti-codon position.
Source: RNAcentral